CCUACGGGAGGCAGCAGUGAGGAAUAUUGGACAAUGGGCGCAAGCCUGAACCAGCCAAGUCGCGUGAGGGAUGACGGUCCUCUGGAUUGUAAGCCUCUUUUGUCGGGGAGCAAGGCCCGCCACGUGUGGCGGGAAGGAGAGUACCCGAAGAAAAAGCAUCGGCUAACUCCGUGCCAGCAGCCGCGGUAAUACGGAGGAUGGGAGCGUUAUCCGGAUGUAUUGGGUUUAAAGGGUGCGUAGGCGGAAGGUUGAGUCAGCGGGAAAAUGUCGGUGCUCAACACCGGCCUGCCGUUGAAACUGGUCUGCUUGAGUGAGCGAGAGGUAGGCGGAAUGCGUGGUGUAGCGGUGAAAUGCAUAGAUAUCACGCAGAACUCCGAUGGCGAAGGCAGCAUCCCGGCG
This 399-nucleotide ribosomal RNA is filed under the name uncultured bacterium. RNAcentral describes it as "partial 16S ribosomal RNA". It matches the Rfam family "Bacterial small subunit ribosomal RNA", at positions 338 to 734 of the family's 1533-position model. The record is from RNAcentral.